UACGUAGGUGGCGAACGUUAUCCGGAAUCACUGGGCGUAAAGGGUCCGCAGGCGGAUGUGCAAGUCGGGCGUGAAAACUCGCGGCUCAACUGCGAGAGGUCGCUCGAAACUGCACAUCUUGAAUCUAGCAGAGGUCGGUAGGAUUCCCGGUGUAGUGGUGGAAUGCGUAGAGAUCGGGAGGAAUACCCAGAGCGAAGGCAGCCGGCUGGGCUAAGAUUGACGCUGAGGGACGAAGGCGUGGGGAGCGAACAGG
This 253-nucleotide ribosomal RNA is filed under the name uncultured bacterium. Its description in RNAcentral is "partial 16S ribosomal RNA". It matches the Rfam family "Bacterial small subunit ribosomal RNA", at positions 524 to 776 of the family's 1533-position model. The record is from RNAcentral.